CCUGACAGCACCCGGAACCCAUCCCUCGCCGCUGACAGUGCUGCACCCCAUGGUGCCACCAACCCAUCCCAGACAAAGCAGGGAGCCGCGGAGAAGGAGCAGGGAGGUCUGGAGGAUUCCCGGUGGGGUACAAGUCCUCGCCACUUACCGCAGAGACCUGUCUCGUCCUCCACCAUCACGUUGAAGCCACUACGGCUUCUCCAAAGAAACUAGCUCUGACCGCGCCGCCGCCUACGCCGACUUCCCUCAGGCCGGGCUGGGCCGCUGACUUCCCUGUGGCCAGGCCGGGCUGGCUGGAGCCCGCUGCCACCGCCGCUGCCUCCGACUUCUCGAGGGCCCGGAGGCCUUCUAUAGGGGAACUCACGCUGACAGGCACUCGCCUCAAGGCUGAAGCACCACACCCUCUUAAAGGGGCCGCAGCUCAGCCUGGCUAGAAUAGCUUCGGGUUGGAUGAGAGCAAGUUUUAGGUUAGCCAAUCAGACCAUAGAAAUAAAGCCCAGUUAGAGUAGACCUUGAAGUUCGCUCGCAUCCAAUCCGAACAUGUAGUCUAGGAACCCCGAAUAUAAAGGAUGCCAAGCAGGAGUCUCGCCAUUUCAGACAUGGGCCCACCUGCUCCGAGCUGGCUUCGAGGAGAAAUGGGAGUAGCCGACCACCGCCCAUGCUGGAGGCUAGAGUCUGUCUUAUGGGCUCUGCUCGCCUCGCUGUUGCAGUUGUUGGCACUGACGGAGACUACAGGGCAGCUAGAAAGCUUCUUAAACAUGCUAAGUUCACUCCUAUUGACAACUGAAUGCAACGUCGGAUCCUGGAUUAGAUCUUAGCCCAGAAUAGGUCUUCAGUGGAAGAACUGGCAAAAUUUGAAUAAGGUCUCUGGUUUCGUGAAUGGUAGCGUGAUGUUCAUUUCCUGAUUUUGAUCAUUGGAGUAAUAGUGAGAUACUAACAUUUGGGAAAACACAAUAAAGGGUAUAUGGACAUCUCUACUAUUUUUGUAACUUUUGUAAGUUAAAAUUGUUUCAAAAUGAGUUAAAAAAUUAAAAGGAAGUUUUCUCUUUCAGCUGGGAAAAUGGCAAUGAAUUAAUAUGACGGUGAAGUGAUGACUAAAAUUCUACAUUGCUCCGAAAGCAAGUAAGAAAAUCAGUGGUCAUAGAGAAGUUCUUUCA
This 1157-nucleotide long non-coding RNA is filed under the name Callithrix jacchus (white-tufted-ear marmoset). RNAcentral describes it as "lncRNA (ENSCJAG00000080085.1)". The record is from RNAcentral. Lineage: Eukaryota; Metazoa; Chordata; Mammalia; Primates; Cebidae.